Molecule: ribosomal RNA, 464 nt
Filed under: uncultured bacterium
Lineage: Bacteria
Description: bacterial SSU rRNA
Rfam family: Bacterial small subunit ribosomal RNA
Source: RNAcentral
CCUACGGGGUGCAGCAGUGGGGAAUAUUGGACAAUGGGCGAAAGCCUGAUCCAGCAAUGCCGCGUGUGUGAAGAAGGUCUUCGGAUUGUAAAGCACUUUCAGUAGGGAGGAAGGUAGUGUAGUUAACACCUGCAUUAUUUGACGUUACCUACAGAAGAAGCACCGGCUAACUCUGUGCCAGCAGCCGCGGUAAUACAGAGGAUGCAAGCGUUAUCCGGAAUGAUUGGGCGUAAAGCGUCUGUAGGUGGCUUUUUAAGUCCGCCGUCAAAUCCCAGGGCUCAACCCUGGACAGGCGGUGGAAACUACCAAGCUGAGUACGGUAGGGGCAGAGGGAAUUUCCGGUGGAGCGGUGAAAUGCGUAGAGAUCGGAAAGAACACCAACGGCGAAAGCACUCUGCUGGGCCGACACUGACACUGAGAGACGAAAGCUAGGGGAGCGAAUGGGAUUAGAUACCCCUGUAGUC